GCCGGUGUAGCUCAGCUGGUAGAGCAGGGGUUUUGUAAACCUCAGGUCGUGGGUUCGACUCCCUCCGCCGGCU
RNAcentral lists this transfer RNA (73 nucleotides) under Patescibacteria group bacterium. RNAcentral describes it as "tRNA-Thr". It matches the Rfam family "tRNA". Rfam says of the family: Transfer RNA (tRNA) molecules are approximately 80 nucleotides in length. Their secondary structure includes four short double-helical elements and three loops (D, anti-codon, and T loops). The record is from RNAcentral. RNAcentral also lists the same sequence under 1 other name.